This 380-nucleotide unclassified non-coding RNA is filed under the name uncultured fungus. RNAcentral describes it as "sequence contains ITS1". The stretch from base 1 to 106 matches the Rfam family "5.8S ribosomal RNA", at positions 50 to 154 of the family's 154-position model. The record is from RNAcentral. Lineage: Eukaryota; Fungi.
GAAAUGCGAUAAGUAAUGUGAAUUGCAGAAUUCAGUGAAUCAUCGAGUCUUUGAACGCACCUUGCGCUCUUUGGCCAUUCCAAAGAGCAUGCCUGUUUGAGUGUCAUUGAAUCCUCAAGGCCCCCCCAACCUUGCCGUUGCGGGGGGAGCUUGGACUUUGGGAGUGCUGCGGUUGGCCCCCUGCUCGGGCUUUCCGCUCUCCUCAAACGCAUCAGUAGGCCCCUUCCCCCCUUGGGUGUCCUCGUGGCGUUGAUAGUCGUCUACGCCUCGAAACCCCUCCCCUCCGGGAUUCUUGACCUGCUUCCCCAACACAUCAUUGUGUGUGUGAUACCUUUGAACACUUUGACCUCAAAUCAGGUAGGACUACCCGCUGAACUUAA